AUUCCAGCUCCAAUAGCGUAUAUUAAAGUUGUUGCAGUUAAAAAGCUCGUAGUUGAACUUCUGACUAUUGCGUAAGCCGGAUUCGUUCGCUCUCGUGAUAGUCAUCCGCUUGGGAACUCCGUUCGAACUUAACUGUUUGGCGGAAGGAACAGGCAUUUUACUUUGAAAAAAUUAGAGUGUUCAAAGCAGGCUAUCGCUUGAAUACAUGAGCAUGGAAUAAUGGAAUAGGACUUUGGUCUUAUUUUAUUGGUUUCUGAGACCGAAGUAAUGAUUAAGAGGGACAAUUGGGGGCAUCCGUAUUUCGUUGUCAGAGGUGAAAUUCUUGGAUUUACGAAAGACGAACAACUGCAAAAGCACUUGCCAAGAGUGUUUUCAUUA
RNAcentral lists this ribosomal RNA (378 nucleotides) under Hydrozoa sp. Its description in RNAcentral is "partial small subunit ribosomal RNA". It matches the Rfam family "Eukaryotic small subunit ribosomal RNA", at positions 582 to 975 of the family's 1831-position model. Lineage: Eukaryota; Metazoa; Cnidaria; Hydrozoa. The record is from RNAcentral.